Molecule: long non-coding RNA, 771 nt
Filed under: Marmota monax (woodchuck)
Lineage: Eukaryota; Metazoa; Chordata; Mammalia; Rodentia; Sciuridae
Source: RNAcentral
GGAAAGGCUGGGUGGAUGGUGGCGUCAGUUGGAACAACACAAACGUGCCUAAUGCCACUCAGCUGCACACUCAAAAUGAUUAAACACUGAGUUCUGUUAUGUGCGUUUUACCACAAUAAGAGUAGCAGAUUACACUAUUUUCCAUCUCGUCUAUUUUUCUUAAAAUGCCUUUCUCAUAGAUCUUUGCUGGGAUCCCUGAACUUUUAAGGAGCAGGUAAUUCCUGAUUUCAUACAGGUUGUUCCAGAAGUAGAAGAGCACGCAGCUGAGCGUCUCUUCUGCAAGCCUCCUGUAGCUGGAUGCCACAGCACGAGCAGCUCAACUGACUGAUGGACCAGUGUCUACUGGAAAGUGAAACUAAUGAGUCUCAAACUGAUAAAAAUUGACCAAAACAACACGUUGUGAUUCCAUGGGCUGCCUCGGAAUUAUCAAGAUGGUUCCACAGUAGGAAAUUUACUACUUACCCCAUUGAAGAUCUAAGAGAAGCCGUGAUCAUCUCAAGAGAUGCAGGAAGAGCAUUUGAUGGAACUAUGUACAAUUAAAACCUGGGAGAGAAGGGAACUGUCAUUUCAUGUUGAUGAAUCCAUUUGCCAAACACCUACGUUAAGCUCACUGUUUGGGAAAGACGGAAAACAAAACAGGGCUCGCUAUUUAGAAACAGACUGACAGUGCCAAGAGUUGAGACAGUGGCCCUGGAGAGAGGCCCUGUCUCCCCGCCUCGCAGCUGACAAACUCGGAGGCUGUUCUCCACCUUCCCCCAUUGUAAGUCCUGC